Molecule: long non-coding RNA, 318 nt
Organism: Magnolia sinica
Lineage: Eukaryota; Viridiplantae; Streptophyta; Magnoliopsida; Magnoliales; Magnoliaceae
Exons: 3
Source: RefSeq, a predicted model, not a curated record
UUUUUUGAUGUGACUCUCUUGGAUAACAAGGUUACGUGCUUGGUGCUAUGAACCACUCUUUUGCAGUGCUGAUUCCAAAUAUGGAUGGACUAGUGUGAAUUUGAACCAGGGCUUGUUCAUGGUGGUCCGCACUUGGUGAACAUCCCAAAAAUGAGCCCUUCGCUAAUAAUAUUCCACGGUUCGAGGUCCCUAUUGUUGUGAUCCAUCCUGUUCCAAGUCCAGUAAGAAAUGAAGGGAUAUGAAGAUAUCAAGCGAAGAAGAAUGCCAGAGCUGCAAACAUUUAACCCAAUGUCCAAUUUAGAGUCCUCUAGUGGUGGU